CUGAUCCAAUCCUAACCAAUCCAAAGGAAGGGCUGGCCCAGUGCCACUCUCACAGCCUGUUAAAAAGGUCAGCAAAUAAUGGAGGUUUGCUGCGUGGGUUUGUGGUGGUCACGACUCGCAACAUAUGAAAGUCAUUGAUACUAACACAUGCCAUUGCCCGCCCACUGCACAUGCUCUCUGUCUCCCUUCUCCCCUACAAUCCACGCACUUUUCUUCCCUUUUUUUUUUUUUCCCUUUUAUUUUCUUUCUUUCUUUCUCUUUUCUUUUUCUCUAUAGCUAUCCGAUCAAUCCAUCUCAUGGACUCAUCACAAGAC
Molecule: long non-coding RNA, 314 nt
Filed under: Vitis vinifera (wine grape)
Lineage: Eukaryota; Viridiplantae; Streptophyta; Magnoliopsida; Vitales; Vitaceae
Description: long non-coding RNA (VVIN_LNC000196)
Source: RNAcentral